UUGGCAUUCUAUAUACUCAAUCUGAAACUUUACAACACUUCUUAUAAAUAAGCAUUAUUUUCCUCUUUGAGCCUCAGCUAACUUAAAGGUCCAAAGUAACACAAUCAAGUUAUAAUACUGACAUCUAUCUCCAUGGGAGGUGUUGACAUUUUGCUGAAACCUUCCAAGACGGGAACUCCUGCUGUGGAUAGGAGAUGCCAUUUCAUUGAAAAUGAGAAAUCAGAAGUCAAAUAUACUGUUUAGUCCAAGCUUGGAAACUUUUGACCUCUGACUCUGUUACCAUUGUGGAAAGAAUUGUUCAAAUCCCUCAACUACCAGGGCAGACAAUCCAAGAAAAAGAAAACAUAUACAAGCUGCAAGAAAAAUAAAUUCCCAAUCAACAUUUUUUGCCA
RNAcentral lists this long non-coding RNA (392 nucleotides) under Vulpes vulpes (red fox). Its description in RNAcentral is "lncRNA (ENSVVUG00000011069.1)". Lineage: Eukaryota; Metazoa; Chordata; Mammalia; Carnivora; Canidae. The record is from RNAcentral.